Molecule: long non-coding RNA, 1948 nt
Filed under: Olea europaea subsp. europaea
Lineage: Eukaryota; Viridiplantae; Streptophyta; Magnoliopsida; Lamiales; Oleaceae
Source: RNAcentral
AAAUAUGUUAUAAUUUCUAUGGCAGGAAAGAAAAUUAUGGAAGAUGAGAAUCCUGAUUUGUUGCUACAAUGUGAUAAUGAGAAUGCUGUGGAGAAUUUGAAUAUGUUAGACAACGAAGAUGUGGGAGGAGAUGUGGAGUCAGUGCCUAAGGUGGGCAUGACGUUUAGUGAUAAGAAGGAAAUGUUUGACUUUUACAAAAGAUAUGCUUAUGACGUAGAGUUUUCGAUGUGAAAAAGGAAUUCAAAAAAGGGAGAAGAUGGAGUUAUGAGAUACGUUAUGUUCACAUGUGGUGGGAAGGUCGACAAACUUAUACUACAGGCAGUUCCUUGAAACCGCAUCAACAAGUCAAACUAAUUGUAAAGCAAGAAUAUCUGCAUCUUUAGAUAGUCUGGGAAUAUGAAAGAUUAACAAAGUGUACCUUGACCACAAUUACAAAACAAGUUCGUCCAAGUCUAGGUUGUACUGAUGCAACCGAAAAUUAAGUACGAGUGUGAAACAAAAGCUCAAAGUGAAUGAUAUGGCAAGAAUUCCAUUGCAUAAGAGUUAUAACUCGACAGUUGUCGAAGCUGGUGGAUAUGAAAAUACGACUUUUGUGGAGAAAGAUUGUCGAAACUACAUUGAACAGGGGAGAGGUUUAUGCCUUGGGGAAGGAGAUACGCUCGCAAUACAGGCGUAUUUUUCAAAGAUGCAAGCACGGUGCUCUGAUUUUUACUUUAGUAUAGACUUGGACGAUGAAGGUAGACUCAAGAAUAUUUUUUGGGUAGACGACAGAUGUAGGCAAUCUUACAAGGAGUUUGGUGAUGUUGUCACCUUUGAUAUUCCCUAUCUUACUAAUAAGUACGACAUGUCGUUUGGCCUUUUUGUUGGCCUGAAUCACCAUGGACGAUCUACAUUGCUCGCCUGUGGAUUGUUAUCGAAUGAAGACACAGGGACUUUCGUGUGGUUGUUCAGAACAUGACUUGAGUGUAUGCACGGUCAAGCUCCUACUAGAAUCAUUACUGAUCAAGAUCGGACGAUGCAAAAUGCCAUUGAGAUUGUUUUUCCGAACAUGAGGCAUAGGUGGUGUUUGUGGCACAUUAUGAAAAAAUUACCAGAAAAAUUUGGAUACCAUAUUCGGAAGAGCUCGAUAUUUUCUGCUAUAUAUGGACUAGUAUACGAUUCUAAGGAUGUGCAACAAUUUGAAGAUGGUUGGAGGUUGAUGCUCGAUAUAUAUGAGUUGUAUGACAGUAACUGGCUAUCAGGAUUAUACUAGAACAGAGGUCGUUUGGAUGCCUUAUUUUUUGAAAACCAUGUUUUGGGUAGGCAUGUCGACGACACAGCUAAGCGACAGUAUGAAUGUAUUCUUCGAUGGGUAUGUGCAUUCAAAAACCUCAUUGAAGCAGUUUGUCGAGCAGUAUGAAAGAGCACUAAAAAAUAAGGUCGAGAAGGAGUUUCAGGAAGAUUUCAAGUUGUACUUUCAAAUGGUACCGUGUGCGACAACUUUCGUAAUGGAAAAGAAAUUUCAAGCAAUUUAUACCAUUUCAAAGUUCAAAGAAGUUCAGGAAGAGUUCACUGGAAAUGUGUAUUGCGAUGUCGUCUCCGAAAAUGUGAGUGACUAUUACUGGUUGGCCUACGAGAUCCGUGAGGAGAUCAUUGUUCACUUAUGAAAUGACAACUUCAGUUUCUCACUUAGGGAGACCAUUUUUUGAGGUUUGAUUACUUCAUUUUGCAGGCAGUUCGGAAGUUACGAAGAAGUGAAGGUGCCAAUUCAAAGAAAAUGAAGGUUGCUACAGAAUGCUAUUUCAUCAAGAUGUCAAGCUAUAUGUAUUUUGCUAAUUUGAUACUGUGUACCAAAUAGGAAGUUGGUAAUUUGCUAAUGUGUUGUAUGGUCCCACCAGUUUAGGUGGCCAAAUUCUCAUCAUGUCAAUGUGAUUUGAAAUAUUCUUGGUAUUCUGCUCAAGAAAAUGAC